RNAcentral lists this ribosomal RNA (254 nucleotides) under uncultured bacterium. RNAcentral's name for it is "partial 16S ribosomal RNA". It matches the Rfam family "Bacterial small subunit ribosomal RNA", at positions 524 to 776 of the family's 1533-position model. The record is from RNAcentral.
UACGGAGGGUGCAAGCGUUAUCCGGAAUUACUGGGUUUAAAGGGUGCGUAGGCGGUGGUGUAAGUCAGUUGUGAAAUGCCCCGGCUUAACCGGCGGAACUGCGAUUGAUACUGCAUCACUUGAAUCGGGAUGAGGUAGGCGGAAUGUGGCAUGUAGCGGUGAAAUGCUUAGAUAUGCCAUAGAACACCGAUUGCGAAGGCAGCUUGCUGGGCCUGAAUUGACGCUGAGGCACGGAAGCGUGGGGAGCAAACAGG